Molecule: ribosomal RNA, 469 nt
Filed under: uncultured bacterium
Lineage: Bacteria
Description: partial 16S ribosomal RNA
Rfam family: Bacterial small subunit ribosomal RNA
Source: RNAcentral
GACGAACGCUGGCGGCGUGCUUAACACAUGCAAGUCGAACGAUGAAGCGGUGCUUGCACCGUGGAUUAGUGGCGAACGGGUGAGUAAUACGUGAGUGACCUACCUUUGACUCUGGGAUAAGCCUGGGAAACUGGGUCUAAUACCGGAUACGACCAAUCUCUGCAUGGGGUGUUGGUGGAAAGCGUUAUGGAGUGGUUUUAGAUGGGCUCACGGCCUAUCAGCUUGUUGGUGAGGUAAUGGCUUACCAAGGCGACGACGGGUAGCCGGCCUGAGAGGGUGACCGGCCACACUGGGACUGAGACACGGCCCAGACUCCUACGGGAGGCAGCAGUGGGGAAUAUUGCACAAUGGGCGCAAGCCUGAUGCAGCGACGCCGCGUGAGGGAUGACGGCCUUCGGGUUGUAAACCUCUGUUAGCAUCGAAGAAGCGAAAGUGACGGUAGGUGCAGAGAAAGCGCCGGCUAACUACG